CACAAGAGCCACUCAUCAAUCGCUGUCCCAGGUUUGGUGUAUUGUUGGGGCAGUUGUGCCGGGGAUUUUGCUUGUUGGCUUCAUUUCGGUUCUUAUUUUCUUGCGUCUUACUAACCACAUCCACUUCACGAAGAAAGGUGUCCACGAAGGAUUGGCAUCUGCUUCUACAACCAAAACAGCCGCUGCAGACGAUCCGGCAAACGUCACAAUGGCCCACUACGAGGCUCUUA
Long non-coding RNA from Dreissena polymorpha, 230 nucleotides. RefSeq lists it as uncharacterized. The record is from RefSeq and is a predicted model, not a curated record. NCBI's taxonomy places the organism in Eukaryota, Metazoa, Mollusca, Bivalvia, Myida, Dreissenidae. The transcript is spliced from 3 exons.